UUCUAAAUUUUUCUCAAAUUCAUCCUAUUUUCUUCAUCUCCACCCUCAGUACCACUUUAGUCCAAGGCAUCAUGGCCAUUUCUCACCUGGACAAGUGCAAUCACCUAUUAGCUGCUUUCGAUACCCUCCAUUCCACUCUCCACCUUGCAGCCAGAGUGGUCUUGUCAAAACGCACAUCUAAUGGAGCCACCUCUGAUUACACACUUCAAGGGCACUCCACCUCUCAGGAUAAAGAUAAAAGUUCCUUGCCAUGGUUGACAUGGUCUACCCCAAGGAGCUUUCCACUCGCAUCUUCAACCAAGUUCCCCAUUGUUUCUGCAAUAUGACCUUUGCUCAUGCUAUUCCUUCUGCCUGGAAGGUUCUGGAAGGUUCCAGGUUCUUCCCUUCCCUUUUCAUCUAGAUAUUUCUACUUUGCUCUCUGAGAUUGCAAAAACUUCCUAGGGAAAAGUUCUCACAGCAUUAUGUACAUCUCCUUCAUGACACUUGUUAAGAUUACAAAUUUGAAUUUAUUCCUGUGAUUUGACUAAUGUCUGUAUUAGUCUAUUCUCAUGCUGCUAAUAAAGACAUACCCAAGACCGGGUAAUUAAUAAAGGAAAGAGGUUUAAUUGACCCACCAUUCUGCAGGGCUGAGGAGGCCUCAGGAAACUGACAAUCAUGGUGGAAGGGGAAGCAAACACAUCCUUUUUCACAUGGUGGCAGGAAGGAAAAGUGCCGAGCAAAAGAGAAAAAAGCCUUUUAUAAAACCAUCAGAUAUCCUGAAAACUCAUUUAUUACCAUGAGAACAGCAGCAUGGGGGCAUGAGAACGCCCCAAUUUGGGUGGUGGCACAGCCAAACCAUAUAAAUCUCCAUUUGCUAAAAGAAACAUAAACUCAGGAAGGCAGUUAUAAUCAUAGAACCUAGAAAAGUGGCUCUCUUGCAGCAAAAGCUGAACAAAUAUUUUUAGAUUGGGUGGGUGGAUCUCAUGUCUAGUCCCCCAAGUGUCUCCUUAGCCCUAGACCUCAGCCACCUUUUUCCCUGGUGAGACAGACACAGAGGAAUUAGCAAAAGAAUUUAUAUCCACAAUCAGGUCUGUGUCUUAUCAGGAAACUGAGCACCCCAUGGCCUGAUGGACUGUGUACCUCAGAAUAUGUGCCUCCAAAAUUUUUUAUUAGAUGAGUAGUGACUGCAGUCUCCAAAACUCAUGCUUUCAAAUGGUCAAACCUACCAAGUCCCUGCAAGGGUCAGGGGUCUCUAAGUGGAUAGGGGUGUUUAGACCACGCCCCUUCCACUAAACAUUUUGCUUCCCUUGAGAACCAGAGGGAAAAGAUAAUGGGGACUUUCUCCAGCCCUGACAUCACCAUACCUGAUAUUUUGCUUUCUAUCCCAGAAGACUACAAUAUCUCAGACUUCUCAUCCACACAAUGAGAAUACUAAAAACCUAUCAGUCAACAGUAAUUUAUUGUACAUUUAAAAAUAACUAAAAGUAUAAUUGGAUUGUUUGUAACACAAAGAAAGGAUAAAUGCUUGAGGUGACAGAUACCCCAUUUACCCUGAUGUGAUUAUGACUCAUUGUAUGAUUGUAUCAAAAUAUCUCAUGUACCCCACAAAUAUAUACAACUACUAUGUACCCACAUAUAUUAAACAUUAAAAAAUUUUAAAAUAAAAGCGUAUCUCAUUGGACUGUAGAAAGUAUCAAGUGAGAUAACCUUUCCGAUGUGCCUGGUACUGAAUAACUAAGUGCUGAAUUAAUUUUUGUUUCUCUCUCUUUCCAGAAGGAAUGAAAUAGAAAGAAUAAAGCUGAAGGACAUUUCAUUUAUGUUCAACUAGAAAUCCAAUAUAGUUUUAGGCAAACUAUAUUUUCCCUUGCAACUGUACUCCCUUACAUACAUGUAAGUGGGAAAGAAUAAAUGUGACAAAC
This 1898-nucleotide long non-coding RNA is filed under the name Homo sapiens (human). Its description in RNAcentral is "non-protein coding lnc-C12orf42-5:1". Lineage: Eukaryota; Metazoa; Chordata; Mammalia; Primates; Hominidae. The record is from RNAcentral.